Molecule: small nucleolar RNA, 84 nt
Organism: Esox lucius (northern pike)
Lineage: Eukaryota; Metazoa; Chordata; Actinopteri; Esociformes; Esocidae
Product: small nucleolar RNA snR60/Z15/Z230/Z193/J17
Source: Ensembl
AUGAUAUAAUGAUGACCGCAUAGUUCAGCAGAAUAACCAUGAAGAACAAUCAGCAUUGUCUUUCGCUCCUAUCUGAUGUGUCAA